Molecule: ribosomal RNA, 465 nt
Filed under: uncultured Klebsiella sp.
Lineage: Bacteria; Pseudomonadati; Pseudomonadota; Gammaproteobacteria; Enterobacterales; Enterobacteriaceae
Description: bacterial SSU rRNA
Rfam family: Bacterial small subunit ribosomal RNA
Source: RNAcentral
CCUACGGGAGGCUGCAGUGGGGAAUAUUGCACAAUGGGCGCAAGCCUGAUGCAGCCAUGCCGCGUGUGUGAAGAAGGCCUUCGGGUUGUAAAGCACUUUCAGCGGGGAGGGAGGCGUUAAGGUUAAUAACCUUGGCGAUUGACGUUACCCGCAGAAGAAGCACCGGCUAACUCCGUGCCAGCAGCCGCGGUAAUACGGAGGGUGCAAGCGUUAAUCGGAAUUACUGGGCGUAAAGCGCACGCAGGCGGUCUGUCAAGUCGGAUGUGAAAUCCCCGGGCUCAACCUGGGAACUGCAUUCGAAACUGGCAGGCUAGAGUCUUGUAGAGGGGGGUAGAAUGCCAGGUGUAGCGGUGAAAUGCGUAGAGAUCUGGAGGAAUACCGGUGGCGAAGGCGGCCCCCUGGACAAAGACUGACGCUCAGGUGCGAAAGCGUGGGGAGCAAACAGGAUUAGAUACCCGGGUAGUC